GAAUACCUAAAAUUCUAAUUCAAAAUUUUGAAAGCAACUAAGGCUAAAAAAGAAAAAGAAAAUUAAAUAACAAGAGCUUGGUUCAACAAGCGUAAAGACUAUCAAUAAUUUUUUCCAUAACUACAAAUUUUUAAGCAAUUUGUUCAAACAAAUCUCAAUUUAUUCUUCUAAAACUUCCAGCCAAACUAAAACUUGUAGAAUGUAGAUACAUAAAAAUGAGAACCUAAGUGGAUAAAGGAGAAAAAAAAAAGAUUAAAAGCAGUAUGUAUACAAUUAGAUAAGGCCUAAUAAGCAAUAAGCAUGAGAUCUCAUUUAAACUUAGAAAUUAAAAUGGAUGCUGACUGCCGAUGCAACCUAAAUUUCAUUUAUGGGGAUUUUGUACAUGGUAUUUAUUUAUUUAGCAUAUAUUUUAC
This 413-nucleotide unclassified non-coding RNA is filed under the name Hevea brasiliensis (rubber tree). Lineage: Eukaryota; Viridiplantae; Streptophyta; Magnoliopsida; Malpighiales; Euphorbiaceae. The record is from RNAcentral.